AUGGCUUCAUUUUCUGAUCCAUGUUGCCUGUUCAAGCUAAUACAAAAUUUGCUGGAACAUAAGAAAUUUGGGGAUCUUUACAAAAGAAACGAUCUUCAAGACCCCAUGCCGCCAAAGGAUGGAAUGAUAAUUUUCACUGGCCCAAGUCGAGGUCUAGUGCUGGUUGAUUUCAUCUAUCUAGAUAUAGAUCUUAAAAUCAGGGAAGAUGGAGUGCUUCCAAAUAGGCCAUUCAGCAAGGGUCUAUUAAGUAUUGAUGGCCGGGAGAUCACCGUGGUCCUCAACGACCUCGUCACAGCCGUCCAAGAAAUCCGGCUGUACCUGACCAGCACCUACGGGCCGUCGCCGCCCCUGCCACCAACCGCCGCCACCGGGCUGCCGGCCCUACCGUGGUACUCGCCGCAUCUAGGGGCCUCCGCGACGUUCGCUGGGACGCUGCCUGCCGUCGCCCCGCUGUGGCCGCAGUGGCCGGCGCCGGUUCCGACGCGCCUCCACCGCCGCCGUCUACACCGCGCAAGGACGGCGCCCAGCCGCCGACCGCCGCGCCCUCGCCCUCGUCCUCCUCCAUCCUUCCCCUACAAUCUCUGCCCUAGAACUGGCAGAACCCUAGCUCCUAACACUGAGUACUGUCUAGAGAGGAAGAUGUGGUGGUUAGAAGGGAAAUCCUUGAAAGCUGGCUCAGCACUUCUUGAGGGCCGUUUGAAAGGAAAUAUAAUAGUUGGCAUCUCAGAUAAAGCUCACAAUCUGGACACUGAACAUAUGAUUGUGAUUCAUGAUAGCAAGACAGAUGGCAUGGUGACAGAUGCUCUGCUCUACACCUUGAGGGCUGUUAUGAAACCAGUGAUAACAACUGAAGAUGGUAUCCACCAAGAAGAAUUUGGGUUAGAAGACUCUGCAAACAUACUCUCCAUCAGCAUAGUCUCCUCAGAUGUAGGCUUCCCAGUCAAUGUCUAUGGCCGUGUCAUUGCCAGAGACAGCAUUGACUACAAGUGCAUUUAUCCCUUUCACCGCAAUAGAGAUGAUUGCCAGCGUGUCAACGAGGAUGGAAUGCUGAUUUUAACCGGCCCAGGUCGAGAUGAAUUGGUCAUUACGUGUGGUGCUGUAAAGUUUGGAGUCAGGGUCGUCUGGUCCUUGAUGGACUUUAGGCUGUAA
This 1149-nucleotide ribosomal RNA is filed under the name Triticum aestivum (bread wheat). RNAcentral describes it as "partial small subunit ribosomal RNA". The record is from RNAcentral. Lineage: Eukaryota; Viridiplantae; Streptophyta; Magnoliopsida; Poales; Poaceae.